RNAcentral lists this unclassified non-coding RNA (324 nucleotides) under soil metagenome. RNAcentral's name for it is "partial contains 5.8S ribosomal RNA, internal transcribed spacer 2, and large subunit ribosomal RNA". The stretch from base 1 to 120 matches the Rfam family "5.8S ribosomal RNA", at positions 35 to 154 of the family's 154-position model. The record is from RNAcentral.
GAUGAAGAACGCAGCGAAAUGCGAUAAGUAGUGUGAAUUGCAGAAUUCAGUGAAUCAUCGAAUCUUUGAACGCACAUUGCGCCCCUUGGUAUUCCAUGGGGCAUGCCUGUUCGAGCGUCAUUUGUACCUUCAAGCUUUGCUUGGUGUUGGGUGUUUGUCCCUCGGGACUCGCCUUAAAGUCAUUGGCAGCCAGUGUUUUGGUUUUGAAGCGCAGCACAAGUCGUGAUUCAAGGCUAUCCGCCCGCUUCCACAAGCCUUUUUCACUUUUGACCUCGGAUCAGGUAGGGAUACCCGCUGAACUUAAGCAUAUCAAUAAGCGGAGGA